AGAAGGUGGCGUUGAAGUGGUCGUAGAGGCCGGCGUCCAGGGCGUUCCAGGUGCGCGCCGCCCGCGCCAGCGCCGCGGGGAUGGCGGCCAGGCGCGAGCUGGCGGCGCGCGCGUUGAGCUUGGCGUAGAGCACGUCGUCCAGGUCCCAGGCCAGUAGGCGCCGCAGCAGCACUAGCGACUCGUCGAAGUACUCGGCGAUCAUGACGAGCGAGAAAACCUCCUCCACCUGGCGGAUGAGGCCCGCCAGGUAGGCGGCGUCGUCGCGCGGGCUGCGCUCAUUGUCGCCGCCCAGGUCGUAGGCCAGCGUGUUGUGUGCGAACAUGGCGAAGUGCUCGCCAGCGCGGUAGUAUGCCUCGGGCGCGCGCAGGAAGGCCUCGAGCGAGGCGUUGGGUACGCGCCGGAAGGCCGGGCAGUACUGGUUGUAGUAGCUGAAGAGCGACUCGAACAUGGCGGCCGGCUCGCGCAGGAUGGUGACAUAGACGGUGCUGGGCGGCAUGAGGCGCUCCAGCUCCGCACGGUCGAAGCGCAGGUGGCUGGCCAGCACGUGCGGCGGCCGCGUGGCCGGGUGCACGAAGUGCGCCGAGAAGUUGCGGGGGUAGCAGAACUGGUGCUCGCAGCUCGGGUGCGGCAGGGCCACCGUCAGGUUGUGGCGCUCGGCAAAGCGAAACAGGAUGUUCUGCACCGUCGUGCCUGCCGUCUUGUGAGUCUUCAGGAAGGCCACAGUCAUGUGCUUGGGGCGCGGCGGCGAGUUCCGCAGAGGAGGGCAGCUCAAGGGGAACAGCUUGGGGUACCUGCCAGGCCCAGGGAGUGUGC
RNAcentral lists this long non-coding RNA (813 nucleotides) under Homo sapiens (human). Its description in RNAcentral is "HSALNT0176976". Lineage: Eukaryota; Metazoa; Chordata; Mammalia; Primates; Hominidae. The record is from RNAcentral.